GAUGAACGCUGGCGGCGUGCCUAAUACAUGCAAGUCGAGCGAACAGACGAGGAGCUUGCUCCUCUGACGUUAGCGGCGGACGGGUGAGUAACACGUGGAUAACCUACCUAUAAGACUGGGAUAACUUCGGGAAACCGGAGCUAAUACCGGAUAAUAUAUUGAACCGCAUGGUUCAAUAGUGAAAGACGGUUUUGCUGUAACUUAUAGAUGGAUCCGCGCCACAUUAGCUUGUUGGUAAGGUAACGGCUUACCAAGGAAACGAUGCGUAGCCGACCUGAGGGGGGGAGGCCCCACUGGGAACGUGACACGGGCCCAAACCCCACGGGGGGGGGCGGAAGGGGAUAUUCGCCGAAGGGGGAAAGUCCGUGCGGGAAAAGCCGCGGGAGGGAAGAAGGUUUUCGGGUCGUGAAAAUCUGUUGUUAGAGGAGAAAAUAAGUGGGAAAGGAAAGAUCAUCAAGUUACGGUAACUAAACAGAAAGGCACGGCUAACUACGUG
This 496-nucleotide ribosomal RNA is filed under the name uncultured bacterium. Its description in RNAcentral is "partial 16S ribosomal RNA". It matches the Rfam family "Bacterial small subunit ribosomal RNA", at positions 28 to 507 of the family's 1533-position model. The record is from RNAcentral.